GAUGAACGCUGGCGGCGUGCCUAAUACAUGCAAGUCGAGCGAACAGACGAGGAGCUUGCUCCUCUGACGUUAGCGGCGGACGGGUGAGUAACACGUGGAUAACCUACCUAUAAGACUGGGAUAACUUCGGGAAACCGGAGCUAAUACCGGAUAAUAUAUUGAACCGCAUGGUUCAAUAGUGAAAGACGGUUUUGCUGUCACUUAAAGAUGGAUCCGCGCCGCAUUAGCUAGUUGGUAAGGUAACGGCUUACCAAGGCAACGAUGCGUAGCCGACCUGAGAGGGUGAUCGGCCACACUGGAACUGAGACACGGUCCAGACUCCUACGGGAGGCAGCAGUAGGGAAUCUUCCGCAAUGGGCGAAAGCUUGACGGAGCCACGCCGCGUGAGUGAUGAAGGUCUUCGGAUCGUAAAACUCUGUUAUUAGGGAAGAACAAAUGUGUAAGUAACUAUGCACGUCUUGACGGUACCUAAUCAGAAAGCCACGGCUAACUACGUG
This 497-nucleotide ribosomal RNA is filed under the name uncultured bacterium. Its description in RNAcentral is "partial 16S ribosomal RNA". It matches the Rfam family "Bacterial small subunit ribosomal RNA", at positions 28 to 507 of the family's 1533-position model. The record is from RNAcentral.